UUUUUUUAAGUUUCGUUUUCUAAUUUGAGUGAUAUUCAACCGAGAAAUGAAAGAAAUGAUGAUAUAUUUGAGAACUAAAUGAAUUAUCAGAAAUGUUCAAAAAACGAUGAUAAUGGAGAGAAUUAUCAGAGGCUGAGUUUGAUUAACAAGGUUCUUAUCUGCAUUUGAAAUGAAUUGGGUUUGGAUUUUUAUUCCAAGUGAAAAAAUCAUAAAAUUGCAAAUCAUUUGAAUUCCACAUACCCUUAAAGAAUUUUCGUGCUGGGUUCUUUUUUUAUUAUUAUUUUCUUUCCUUUUUCUCUAAAGCUGGAGACCGUAUCCCCAUUGAAGAACUAGACGAGAAUGUGGUGGCA
Molecule: unclassified non-coding RNA, 350 nt
Filed under: Hevea brasiliensis (rubber tree)
Lineage: Eukaryota; Viridiplantae; Streptophyta; Magnoliopsida; Malpighiales; Euphorbiaceae
Source: RNAcentral